This 560-nucleotide long non-coding RNA is filed under the name Capra hircus (goat). RNAcentral describes it as "lncRNA (ENSCHIG00000007506.1)". Lineage: Eukaryota; Metazoa; Chordata; Mammalia; Artiodactyla; Bovidae. The record is from RNAcentral.
AGAGAGCUGACAGCAAGAAUAAAAGGUGUUUUCUAACAUGAAUGCUGGGCCAUCUAUAAAGCAUAGAAAGGGAGAAAAGAAACCAGCUCCCUUGAUCGGUUUUUAAAGAUCCCUUUCUUUGCUGGAAGAGAGAAUCGAGAUACUGACCCACAAAAAUUUAAAGAUGAAACGUUUUCAAUCUUCUCCUGACUGUUGGCGACUCAGAUUUAAGGUCAGGCUGGUCACCAGCUUUCUUGACUGAUGUUCAUGACAACAGCCACCUGGAAAGGCAACCUCCAUUCAAAGUAGACCAUUGAAAGUAGAAGUUAACUCCUGGAGCCUCUGCUGAGUUGAAGAUCCCUCUCAUUUGCCGGGUGCCAAGAAAGAUGAACAGACCGGGCAAUAGAAAAAUAGCCAAAGAAGGAUCCAGUGAUUUGAAAUUCCAGAACUUCGCUCUGCCGAAAAAUAGGUCAUGGCCCGGAAUCGACAGUGCCACAGGUAAGUCAGGGCCCCCCCAGGCACCGAAGCAGUGGGAAUGUCAGCAGGAGUCUGUUAUUCCUCCUUCCACCCUUCUCCAUUUU